RNAcentral lists this ribosomal RNA (301 nucleotides) under uncultured bacterium. RNAcentral describes it as "partial 16S ribosomal RNA". It matches the Rfam family "Bacterial small subunit ribosomal RNA", at positions 509 to 807 of the family's 1533-position model. The record is from RNAcentral.
CAGUCGCCACGGUAAUACGUAGGGUGCGAGCGUUAAUCGGAAUUACUGGGCGUAAAGCGUGCGCAGGCGGUUCGUUAAGACAGAUGUGAAAUCCCCGGGCUUAACCUGGGAACUGCAUUUGUGACUGGCGAGCUAGAGUAUGGGAGAGGGUGGUAGAAUUCCACGUGUAGCAGUGAAAUGCGUAGAGAUGUGGAGGAAUACCGAUGGCGAAGGCAGCCACCUGGGCCAAUACUGACGCUCAUGUACGAAAGCGUGGGGAGCAAACAGGAUUAGAUACCCCUGUAGUCCCUGUCUCUUAUAC